CCUACGGGUGGCAGCAGUAGGGAAUCUUCCACAAUGGGCGAAAGCCUGAUGGAGCAACGCCGCGUGGGUGAAGAAGGUCUUCGGAUCGUAAAACCCUGUUGUUAGAGAAGAAAGAUCGAGAUAGUAACUGUUCACGUUUCGACGGUAUUUAACUAGAAAGCCACGGCUAACUACGUGCCAGCAGCCGCGGUAAUACGUAGGUGGCAAGCGUUAUCCGGAUUCAUUGGGCGUAAAGGGAGCGCAGGCGGUUUUUUAAGUCAGAUGUGAAAGCCUUCGGCUUAACCGUAGAAGUGCAUUUGAAACUGGGAGACUAGAGUACGGAAGAGGUAGGUGGAAUUCUUGGUGUAGGGGUAAAAUGCGUAGAGAUAAAGAAGAAUACUCAUGGCGAAGGCGGCUUUCUAG
This 402-nucleotide ribosomal RNA is filed under the name uncultured bacterium. RNAcentral describes it as "partial 16S ribosomal RNA". It matches the Rfam family "Bacterial small subunit ribosomal RNA", at positions 338 to 732 of the family's 1533-position model. The record is from RNAcentral.